Molecule: ribosomal RNA, 622 nt
Filed under: Garcinia madruno
Lineage: Eukaryota; Viridiplantae; Streptophyta; Magnoliopsida; Malpighiales; Clusiaceae
Description: eukaryotic LSU rRNA
Rfam family: 5.8S ribosomal RNA (bases 235-390)
Source: RNAcentral
CCUGUGAACUUGUUUAACACAUUGACAAGUGUUUGUGGCCAGUCCUUGGAUUGGCAACAUGCACUAGUGAGUCGAGAGGUGUCGAUUGCUCAUGCAGCAUUGGCUCCUCAAGACACAACAAACCAAUCCCGGCGCGGGUUGCGCCAAGGAAGAAUAAAAAAUAUGAGGAACUCCUCUCCAUCCUGGAAACAGUGUAUGCGACGAGGGAUUGUUCCUUUUAGUCGUAAAUAGAACGACUCUCGGCAACGGAUAUCUCGGCUCUCGCAUCGAUGAAGAACGUAGCGAAAUGCGAUACGUGGUGUGAAUUGCAGAAUCCCGUGAACCAUCGAGUUUUUGAACGCAAGUUGCGCCCGAAGCCUUCAGGUUGAGGGCACGUCUGCCUGGGUGUCACACAAUGUUGCCCAAACCCCAAUUGGUAUUGGAUAUGGGCGGAUGUUGGCCUCCCGUGUGCCAUGUGCUCGUGGUUGGCCCAAAUACAAGUCGCGUUGAUGUUGUACAUGACAAUCGGUGGUUUAAAGACCUUCGGAGAAUGUCGUGACUCUCAUCGCUUUGGCACCAAUGGGCCCAAAGCAAAUCAUUGCAAGCUCACAUAGCGACCCCAGGUCAGGCGAGACUACCCGCU